ACUCCGCCUUUACAUGCUUCUCAUACAAUCCCAAAAAAUCCUUCUAUUAAAAUCGUAACAAGUGAAGAGAGUGAUGGCUGAAGGACGUUCGUUGAAGAAAUUACCUGUGGUCUGUAUCGGGAUCUCAAAGAACGGCAACGGGCAGUUGGAGGAUCUUAAAGACCUUAAGAUAGUGUGCUCCAAGAUACCUGCGUCUGGGAAGCAAAAAAAAAAGAAGAUACGGCAUUUUAUACGCAUGGCGGAGCAAGGGAACUCCAACUAUGUAAUACUGAUAGAUGGUUCAUACAGUUAUUCGGUAAUAAGCAUCGAUCGUAGACUUUUCAACCUAUGUGAUAACCAUGACAAAAUGAAGAUGGCCCUGGGUAUUAUGGAACCACUUUCACAGCCGUCUGCUUGGCGAAAAUUCAAAGACAAAGCCAUUAUUUGGCUGUUCUACUGUCAAGUAUUCUCAAUAGUUUUUCCAAAAUUUUUAUACAUACUUUCUAAAAUCUAUCAUGCUAUUUAUUAACUAUUUUAAGAGAGAGCUUGAUUAUGUGUAUGCUGUUAUGCGUUUAAAAAUUAAAUGAUGUUUCAAUUUGUUUAA
Molecule: long non-coding RNA, 583 nt
Organism: Drosophila bipectinata
Lineage: Eukaryota; Metazoa; Arthropoda; Insecta; Diptera; Drosophilidae
Source: RefSeq, a predicted model, not a curated record